Molecule: unclassified non-coding RNA, 341 nt
Filed under: Hevea brasiliensis (rubber tree)
Lineage: Eukaryota; Viridiplantae; Streptophyta; Magnoliopsida; Malpighiales; Euphorbiaceae
Source: RNAcentral
AAAAGUUCUAUACUUCUUCAUCUGGAAUGUUUUCUUUUGUAACAUUGUCUCUGGAUCUGUUAUUGACAGAUUCUUUAAAAUUUUUAAGGAUGUGAACAAUCUACUUUCAACGGCUGUGCCAUCAACGGCGACCUUCUUUAUGACUUAUGUUUUGACUUCUGGCUGGGCAAGUCUGUCUGUUGAACUCUUACAACCAUUCGGUCUCAUCUGCAGAUUGUUCUCCAGGUUUAUUAUGAGAAACGCCGAUGCUUCAUGUUAUGGAACACUGACUUUUCCAUACCAUACAGAAGUUCCGAGGAUCCUCCUAUUUGGCCUCUUUGGCUUUGCAUACGCCAUUUUGG